UGGGGAAUAUUGGACAAUGGGCGCAAGCCUGAUCCAGCCAUGCCGCGUGAGUGAUGAAGGCCCUAGGGUUGUAAAGCUCUUUCACCGGUGAAGAUAAUGACGGUAACCGGAGAAGAACCCCCGGCUAACUUCGUGCCAGCAGCCGCGGUAAUACGAAGGGGGCUAGCGUUGUUCGGAUUUACUGGGCGUAAAGCGCACGUAGGCGGACUAUUAAGUCAGGGGUGAAAUCCCGGGGCUCAACCCCGGAACUGCGUUUGAUACUGGUAGUGUUGAGUUCGAGAGAGGUGAGUGGAAUUCCGAGUGUAGAGGUGAAAUUCGUAGAUAUUCGGAGGAAAACCAGUGGCGAAGGCGGCUCACUGGCUCGAUACUGACGCUGAGGUGCGAAAGCGUGGGGAGCAAACAGG
RNAcentral lists this ribosomal RNA (404 nucleotides) under Actinomycetes bacterium. RNAcentral describes it as "Actinobacteria bacterium partial 16S ribosomal RNA". It matches the Rfam family "Bacterial small subunit ribosomal RNA", at positions 355 to 776 of the family's 1533-position model. Lineage: Bacteria; Bacillati; Actinomycetota; Actinomycetes. The record is from RNAcentral.